UGUCCUAUUAGCCUGUUGGUGGGGUAACGGCUCACCAAAGCAAUAAUGGGUAGCUGGUCUGAGAGGAUGAGCAGCCACACUGGGACUGAGACACUGCCCAGACUCCUACGGGAGGCUGCAGUCGAGAAUCUUUCGCAAUGGGGGAAACCCUGACGAAGCGACGCCGCGUGGAGGAUGAAGGCCCUCGGGUUGUAAACUCCUGUCACUUGGGAUGAAAAGUGGGGCCAUUAAUACCGGUUCUGCCUGACAGUACCUUGAAAGGAAGCUCCGGCUAACUACGUGCCAGCAGCCGCGGUAAUACGUAGGGAGCAAGCGUUGUUCGGAUUUACUGGGCGUAAAGGGUGUGUAGGUUGCUUGGUAAGUCAGUUGUGAAAUCCCUUACUGCUCAACAGAAGAAUUGCAAUUGAUACUACCAGGCUAGAGUACGGUAGAGGAGAGCGGAAUUCUCGGUGUAGCGGUGAAAUGCGUAGAUAUCGAGGAAGACAACAGGUGGCGUAGGCGGGUCUCUAGCCCGAUACUGACACUGAAACACGAAAGCGUGGGUAGCGAACGGUGAUAAAUACCCCGGGUAGUCCACGCCGGAAAACGAUGGGUACUAGGUGCAGGUGGUAUCGAUCCCUUCUGUGCCGUAGCUAACGCGUUAAGUACCCCGCCUGGGGAGUACGGCCGCAAGGCUUAUACUCUAAGGAAUAGACGGGGGCCCGCACAAGCGGUGGAGCAUGUGGCUUAAUACGACGCUACGCGUAGAACCUUUACCAGGGCUUGACAUGCUGGUGGUACUGGCUCCGAAAGGAGACAGGACCCUUCGGGGAGCCAACACAGAUGUUGCACGGCUGUCGUCAGCUCGUGUCGUGAGAUGUUGGGUUAAGUCCCGCAACGAGCGCAACCCUUG
This 892-nucleotide ribosomal RNA is filed under the name uncultured organism. RNAcentral describes it as "bacterial SSU rRNA". It matches the Rfam family "Bacterial small subunit ribosomal RNA", at positions 234 to 1107 of the family's 1533-position model. The record is from RNAcentral.